This 519-nucleotide ribosomal RNA is filed under the name uncultured archaeon. Its description in RNAcentral is "bacterial SSU rRNA". It matches the Rfam family "Archaeal small subunit ribosomal RNA", at positions 33 to 551 of the family's 1478-position model. The record is from RNAcentral.
UCGGUGUUCGACUAAGCCAUGCAAGUCAUAUGUUCCUCGUGAACAUGGCAUACUGCUCAGUAACACGUGGAUAACCUGCCCUUGGGUCUGGGAUAACCCCGGGAAACUGGGGAUAAUAUCGGAUAACGCAUAUGUGCUGGAAUGCUUUAUGCGUAAAACGGAUUCGUCCGCCCAAGGAUGGGUCUGCGGCCUAUCAGGUAGUAGUGGGUGUAAUGUACCUACUAUCCAACAACGGGUACGGGUUGUGAGAGCAAGAGCCCGGAGAUGGAUUCUGAGACAUGAAUCCAGGCCCUACGGGGCGCAGCAGGCGCGAAAACUUUACAAUGCGGGAAACCGUGAUAAGGGAACACCGAGUGCCAGCAUCAUAUGCUGGCUGUCCAGAUGUGUAAACUACAUCUGUUAGCAAGGGCCGGGCAAGACCGGUGCCAGCCGCCGCGGUAACUCCGGCGGCCCGAGUGGUGACCGUUAUUAUUGGGUCUAAAGGGUCCGUAUCCGGUUUGGUCAUUCCUCCGGGAAAUC